GAUGAACGCUGGCGGCGUGCUUAACACAUGCAAGUCGAACGAUGAAGCCCAGCUUGCUGGGUGGAUUAGUGGCGAACGGGUGAGUAACACGUGAGUAACCUGCCCCUAACUCUGGGAUAAGCCUGGGAAACUGGGUCUAAUACCGGAUAGGAGCGCCUACCGCAUGGUGGGUGUUGGAAAGAUUUAUCGGUUUUGGAUGGACUCGCGGCCUAUCAGCUUGUUGGUGAGGUAAUGGCUCACCAAGGCGACGACGGGUAGCCGGCCUGAGAGGGUGACCGGCCACACUGGGACUGAGACACGGCCCAGACUCCUACGGGAGGCAGCAGUGGGGAAUAUUGCACAAUGGGCGAAAGCCUGAUGCAGCGACGCCGCGUGAGGGAUGACGGCCUUCGGGUUGUAAACCUCUUUCAGUAGGGAAGAAGCGAAAGUGACGGUACCUGCAGAAGAAGCACCGGCUAACUACGUG
RNAcentral lists this ribosomal RNA (466 nucleotides) under uncultured bacterium. RNAcentral's name for it is "partial 16S ribosomal RNA". It matches the Rfam family "Bacterial small subunit ribosomal RNA", at positions 28 to 507 of the family's 1533-position model. The record is from RNAcentral.